AUUGAACGCUGGCGGCAUGCUUUACACAUGCAAGUCGAACGGUAACAGGGAGCUUGCUCCGCUGACGAGUGGCGAACGGGUGAGUAAUAUAUCGGAACGUACCCAAGAGUGGGGGAUAACGUAGCGAAAGUUACGCUAAUACCGCAUACGAUCUAAGGGUGAAAGCGGGGGAUCGCAAGACCUCGCGCUAUUGGAGCGGC
This 200-nucleotide ribosomal RNA is filed under the name uncultured bacterium. RNAcentral's name for it is "partial 16S ribosomal RNA". It matches the Rfam family "Bacterial small subunit ribosomal RNA", at positions 30 to 230 of the family's 1533-position model. The record is from RNAcentral.